UGCGAGUCGUGAGGGGUUAUGCCCUCGGCAGACUGCUCAGUAACACGUGGCUAACCUGCCCUUGGGACGAGAACAACCCCGGGAAACUGGGGCUAACUCUCGAUAGGCGAAGAACUCUGGAAUGAGUCUUCACCCAAACAGUUUAGGGUUAUGCUCCUUAAACCGCCCAAGGAUGGGGCCGCGACCGAUCAGGUUGUUGGUGAGGUAAUGGCUCACCAAGCCUUUUACCGGUGCGGGCCGUGGGAGCGGGAGCCCGGAGAUGGGCACUGAGACAAGGGCCCAGGCCCUACGGGGCGCAGCAGUCGCGAAAACUUUGCAAUAAGCGAAAGCUUGACAGGGCUAUCCCGAGUGCCAUCCGCUGAGGAAGGCUUUUACCCAGUCUAGAACGCUGGGGGAAUAAGGAGAGGGCAAGUCUGGUGUCAGCCGCCGCGGUAAUACCAGCUCUCCGAGUGGUGUGGAUGUUUAUUGGGCCUAAAGCAUCCGUAGCUGGCUAGGUUAGUCCCCUGUUAAAUCCACCGAAUUAAUCGUUGGAUUGCGGGGGAUACUGCUUGGCUAGGGGACGAGAGAGGCAGACGGUAUUUCCGGGGUAGGGGUGAAAUCCUAUAAUCCCGGGAAGACCACCAGUGGCGAAGGCUGUCUGCUAGAACGCGCCCGACGGUGAGGGAUGAAAGCUGGGGGAGCGAACCGGAUUAGAUACCCGGGUAGUCCCAGCUGUAAACGAUGCAGACUAGGUGUUUGGACGGCCACGUGCCGUUCUAGUGCCGCAGGGAAGCUGUUAAGUCUGCCGCCUGGGGAGUACGAUCGCAAGAUUGAAACUUAAAGGAAUUGGCGGGGGAGCACCACAAGGGGUGAAGCUUGCGGUUUAAUUGGAUUCAACGCCGGG
Molecule: ribosomal RNA, 883 nt
Filed under: uncultured archaeon
Lineage: Archaea
Description: bacterial SSU rRNA
Rfam family: Archaeal small subunit ribosomal RNA
Source: RNAcentral